RNAcentral lists this ribosomal RNA (403 nucleotides) under uncultured Alphaproteobacteria bacterium. RNAcentral's name for it is "partial 16S ribosomal RNA". It matches the Rfam family "Bacterial small subunit ribosomal RNA", at positions 355 to 774 of the family's 1533-position model. The record is from RNAcentral. Lineage: Bacteria; Pseudomonadati; Pseudomonadota; Alphaproteobacteria.
UGGGGAAUAUUGGACAAUGGGCGCAAGCCUGAUCCAGCAAUACCACGUGAGUGAUGAAGGCCUUCGGGUUGUAAAACUCUUUUAGUAGGGAAGAUAAUGACGGUACCUACAGAAAAAGCACCGGCUAACUUCGUGCCAGCAGCCGCGGUAAUACGAAGGGUGCUAGCGUUGUUCGGAAUCAUUGGGCGUAAAGCGUACGUAGGCGGUUUAGUAAGUCAACUGUGAAAUCCCAGAGCUUAACUUUGGAAUUGCGAUUGAAACUGCUAUGACUAGAGUAUGGUAGGGGAUAGUGGAAUUCCUAGUGUAGGGGUGAAAUCCGUAGAUAUUAGGAGGAACACCGGUGGCGAAAGCGACUAUCUAGGCCAUUACUGACGCUAAGGUACGAAAGCGUGGGGAGCAAACA